This 279-nucleotide ribosomal RNA is filed under the name uncultured bacterium. RNAcentral describes it as "partial 16S ribosomal RNA". It matches the Rfam family "Bacterial small subunit ribosomal RNA", at positions 506 to 784 of the family's 1533-position model. The record is from RNAcentral.
UGCCAGCCGCCGCGGUAAUACGGAGGGUGCGAGCGUUAAUCGGAAUUACUGGGCGUAAAGCGCAUGCAGGUGGAUGAUUAAGUCAGAUGUGAAAGCCCGGGGCUCAACCUCGGAAUAGCAUUUGAAACUGGUCAUCUAGAGUACUGUAGAGGGGGGUAGAAUUUCAGGUGUAGCGGUGAAAUGCGUAGAGAUCUGAAGGAAUACCAGUGGCGAAGGCGGCCCCCUGGACAGAUACUGACACUCAGAUGCGAAAGCGUGGGGAGCAAACAGGAUUAGAUA